RNAcentral lists this ribosomal RNA (541 nucleotides) under Hellica nitida. RNAcentral's name for it is "SSU rRNA". Lineage: Eukaryota; Metazoa; Arthropoda; Insecta; Hemiptera; Acanthosomatidae. The record is from RNAcentral.
GAGAGGGAGCCUGAGAAACGGCUACCACAUCCAAGGAAGGCAGCAGGCACGCAAAUUACCCACUCCCGGCACGGGGAGGUAGUGACAAAAAAUAACGAUACGGGACUCAUCCGAGGCCCCGUAAUCGGAAUGAGAACACCCUAAAUCCUUUAACGAGGAUCUAUUGGAGGGCAAGUYUGGUGCCAGCAGCCGCGGUAAUUCCAGCUCCAAUAGCGUAUAUUAAAGUUGUUGCGGUUAAAAAGCUCGUAGUUGGUUCUGCGUGCCACGCUGUCGGUUCACCGCCUGUCGGUGCAACUGGCAUGCCGUGGCAUGUCCUGUCGGUGGCUUCACAGGCUUCGCGGCGAUCCCUAUGCGUUCACACGUGUAGGCCGUUUCGCCGCGUUGUUCUUGUAGGCCGGCUCAAUCCUGCCGCGGUGCUCUUUACCGAGUGUCGAGGUAGGCCGACACUGUUUACUUUGAACAAAUUAGAGUGCUUCAAGCAGGCUAUGAAAGCAGCCUGAAUAGUGGUGCAUGGAAUAAUGGAACAGGACCUUGGUUCUAU